This is a non-coding RNA of Leptonychotes weddellii (Weddell seal), 1038 nucleotides long. The record is from RefSeq and is a predicted model, not a curated record. Lineage: Eukaryota; Metazoa; Chordata; Mammalia; Carnivora; Phocidae.
UGGUUGGUUAUGUGCCACGAUACAUGUCCUGUUAGCUCUCUGGGUAGCCAUGGGGGCCUGGGGCAGCCAGCAUUUACACCAGCGUUUUGUUCAAAUAUUAUCAUUUAUAUGUGUGCCAACAGGUGCAAAGGGUGAGGAGUCCUGGUUAAGAGAGCAGAAGAGUAACCUUAUAGCCCCGUGAGAGUAAGGAGCCCCUGUCUAUGUGAGCAAUUCAGAGUUAAUCACAAGAAAUCAAGAAUUGCGUGGUAUCUCCAGUCUUCACCCAAAUCACCUCCUGAGUUCCUCAAAGACUGCUGUCUUCUUCCUGGGUGCCUGGGUGUCUCUUACCAGCUCCCCAGCCUUGCCAGACUGUGCCAUGAAUGGAUUAUGCUUCUGACGAAAUCCCUGACGGCGUUUUGUUGGGUCUCCACCGCAGGGUUCUUGUGUAUUCUCAAGCACCCUCUCUGGGUUUCCCUUCCACUGCACCACAGGCUGAUGAAGGGACACUUUCCAAACCACAGGGCUCUCCCUUUGUCAGUGUCCUACACUCUUUCAUCGCCUGUAUUAGCCUCUCAUUUCAAUCUCUAUCCAAUCUAAUUUCAAAUGUCCAGUUUUCUAAAAUUCUGUAGACUUUUCUCCACUGCGUCUCUUCUAGCCUCACUUCUAGUCUUUUUAAAAGGUAGUCAGAUGCAAUUAGAUCCAGUAAUUCACAUUACUCUUGUUAUCUCCACACAAAGUAGUCAUGUCCUUUUUUCUUCUUUAGUCUCUACUUUGUCUGAAUAUUUGCUAAUAGCCUUGAUCUUAAGCGCUCAAACUCAUUACCAGACUAGGUACUCUUCACUUUUAUUUGGUAUUUAAUUCUGUUUUUUAUGUCAAAGGAAGAAAUGUAUGUAAAAGCCUUUUAUAAACCAGAAAGCACUAUACACUCAUAUAACUUAUUGAGAUUAACAAAAGACCACUGUGCCGCUUUUCACGCUUUCUGCUCCUUCUGAGCCAAAAGAACUUCUCCGUAGAGGAGGGAAAUAUUGAAGAAAAAUAAAGCAAUGGAGUUGUCUCUUA